RNAcentral lists this ribosomal RNA (253 nucleotides) under uncultured bacterium. Its description in RNAcentral is "partial 16S ribosomal RNA". It matches the Rfam family "Bacterial small subunit ribosomal RNA", at positions 524 to 776 of the family's 1533-position model. The record is from RNAcentral.
UACGGGGGGGGCAAGCGUUGUUCGGAAUUACUGGGCGUAAAGGGCUCGUAGGCGGUUAACUAAGUCGGACGUGAAAUCCCCAGGCUCAACCUGGGAACUGCGUCCGAUACUGGAUGGCUUGAAUCCGGGAGAGGGAUGCGGAAUUCCAGGUGUAGCGGUGAAAUGCGCAGAUAUCAGGAGGAACACCAAUGGCGAAGGCAGCUCGCUGGGACGUGACUGACGCUGAGACGCGAAAGCGUGGGGAGCAAACAGG